UACGUAGGGGGCAAGCGUUGUCCGGAAUCAUUGGGCGUAAAGCGCGCGUAGGCGGUCCGAUAAGUCCGCUGUGAAAGUCGAGGGCUCAACCCUCGAAUGCCGGUGGAUACUGUCGGGCUUGAGUACGGGAGAGGCGAGUGGAAUUCCUGGUGUAGCGGUGAAAUGCGCAGAUAUCAGGAGGAACACCGAUUGCGAAGGCAGCUCGCUGGAACGUUACUGACGCUGAGACGCGAAAGCGUGGGGAGCAAACAGG
RNAcentral lists this ribosomal RNA (253 nucleotides) under uncultured bacterium. Its description in RNAcentral is "partial 16S ribosomal RNA". It matches the Rfam family "Bacterial small subunit ribosomal RNA", at positions 524 to 776 of the family's 1533-position model. The record is from RNAcentral.